Carassius auratus (goldfish) is the source of this 653-nucleotide long non-coding RNA. RefSeq lists it as uncharacterized. NCBI's taxonomy places the organism in Eukaryota, Metazoa, Chordata, Actinopteri, Cypriniformes, Cyprinidae. The record is from RefSeq and is a predicted model, not a curated record. The transcript has 3 exons.
GUUAUAAUCUUCAUGUUCUGGUGCUAACAUGCAAACAUGGCAAUAAGCAAUGGGCUCCAGAGGUCAGUGACUUUGUAAGGAGUGGAUACUGGCCUGCUACCAUGCAAGUGUGGCAGGAUGGCUAGAUCCUCCUAUAUUGAUUGUUAGGAUUGUUGGCCUAUCAGUGGUUAGGGGUGAGCAUAUAAAAGUUGGAGUUGUGUCACAAGGAUGUGUUGCUCUUAGGUGCCCCGCCCCUUUCUGGUACCAGUGUUUACAUUGUGGUUAGCAGUGUGGCUAACUUGGUCACAGCUCACUUAGGGUUCUUUUUGUGCAUCUAUCCAAAGGCCGCAUGAAGUCGACUGGUUAAUGUUGCAACCGGUGUUUGGUCAGACUGCUUACUUGGGUGCUGUGGGUCAAACCCCAAAAAGGGCAGGGAGGCAGAUCUCCACAUGUGUGUGUGGUGGUGGUGCUAUCUUGUCACCGUGUGCAGUGUUGUGGCGUGUCGAUCACCAACCAAAAUCUCACUGAGUAUCGUGUGUAUGUGAAUGGGUGCACCGAUAGUGUGUGAUAAUUGCAUUUUGUGAUUCUUUAGGAGUUGAUUCCAGCUGACCACAGCCCUGUAAAUCUUUGCUCUUUUUGUGUGAUCAGCAACACGUAACCAAAUAUUAAGUGUG